Molecule: ribosomal RNA, 288 nt
Filed under: Salmonella enterica
Lineage: Bacteria; Pseudomonadati; Pseudomonadota; Gammaproteobacteria; Enterobacterales; Enterobacteriaceae
Also listed under: 3 other names
Description: partial 23S ribosomal RNA
Rfam family: Bacterial large subunit ribosomal RNA
Source: RNAcentral
GACUGAGGGGGGCUGCUCCUAGUACGAGAGGACCGGAGUGGACGCAUCACUGGUGUUCGGGUUGUCAUGCCAAUGGCACUGCCCGGUAGCUAAAUGCGGAAGAGAUAAGUGCUGAAAGCAUCUAAGCACGAAACUUGCCCCGAGAUGAGUCUUCCCUGAGACUUUAAGUCUCCUGAAGGAACGUUAAAGACGAUGACGUUGAUAGGCCGGGGGUGUAAGCGCAGCGAUGCGUUGAGCUAACCGGUACUAAUGAACCGUGAGGCUUAACCUUACAACGCCGAAGCUGUU